AAUGAACGCUGGCGGCGUGCUUAACACAUGCAAGUCGUACGAGAACUCUUCUGCUUGCAGAAGAUAGUAAAGUGGCGCACGGGUGAGUAACGCGUGGUAAUCUACCUCCGAAUCGGGGAUAACCCGCCGAAAGGCGAGCUAAUACCGGAUACUAUCUUUAGAACUUCGGUUUUAAAGAUCAAAGAUGGUCUCUACAUGUAAGCUACUGUUUGGAGAUGAGCCCGCGUACCAUUAGCUUGUUGGUAGGGUAAUGGCCUACCAAGGCCGCGAUGGUUAGCUGGUCUGAGAGGAUGAUCAGCCACACUGGAACUGACACACGGUCCAGACUCCUACGGGAGGCAGCAGUGAGGAAUUUUGCGCAAUGGGGGAAACCCUGACGCAGCAACGCCGCGUGAGUGAUGAAGGCUUUCGGGUCGUAAAGCUCUGUCAAGUGGGAAGAACCUGUUAGAUACUAAUACCAUCUAACACUGACGGUACCACUAAAGGAAGCACCGGCUAACUCCGUGCCAGCAGCCGCGGUAAUACGGGGGGUGCAAGCGUUAUUCGGAAUUAUUGGGCGUAAAGGGCGCGUAGGCGGUCUCUAAAGUCAGAUGUGAAAGCCCGGGGCUUAACCCCGGAAGUGCAUUUGAAACUUAGGGAC
This 640-nucleotide ribosomal RNA is filed under the name uncultured bacterium. RNAcentral describes it as "bacterial SSU rRNA". It matches the Rfam family "Bacterial small subunit ribosomal RNA", at positions 28 to 641 of the family's 1533-position model. The record is from RNAcentral.